UGGCUGUAGCUAUAUCAAGUUAUUCUAGGAGUUAUCUGGCCGGUUGUUUUUGGUGUUCCUUGAUCGGGAUCCCUACUGUAAACAUAUCUGCUUACCGAACUCCACACAUAU
Molecule: small nucleolar RNA, 111 nt
Organism: Ipomoea nil (Japanese morning glory)
Lineage: Eukaryota; Viridiplantae; Streptophyta; Magnoliopsida; Solanales; Convolvulaceae
Rfam family: Small nucleolar RNA snoR109
Source: Rfam